This is a transfer RNA of Toxocara canis (dog roundworm), 72 nucleotides long. It matches the Rfam family "tRNA". From Rfam's summary of the family: Transfer RNA (tRNA) molecules are approximately 80 nucleotides in length. Their secondary structure includes four short double-helical elements and three loops (D, anti-codon, and T loops). The record is from Rfam. Lineage: Eukaryota; Metazoa; Nematoda; Chromadorea; Rhabditida; Toxocaridae.
GGGGCAGUAGCUCAGUGGUAGAGCUCCCGCCUCCUAUUCGGGAAGACCUGGGUUCGAUUCCAGUCUGCUUCC